This 73-nucleotide transfer RNA is filed under the name Bos taurus (domestic cattle). It matches the Rfam family "tRNA". From Rfam's summary of the family: Transfer RNA (tRNA) molecules are approximately 80 nucleotides in length. Their secondary structure includes four short double-helical elements and three loops (D, anti-codon, and T loops). The record is from Rfam by way of RNAcentral. Lineage: Eukaryota; Metazoa; Chordata; Mammalia; Artiodactyla; Bovidae. RNAcentral also lists the same sequence under 5 other names.
UCCCUGGUAGUCCAGUGGCUAAAACUCCGCACUCUCAAUGCAGGGAGCCUGGGUUCGAUCCCAGGUUGGGGAA